CUUCCCUCCCUUCCUCCCUCUUCCAUCAUUAUGGGUGUUUCAAGGAGUUAGAGCCUCAUCAAUAACAUUUGAGUCCCUCUCAUAGCCACUAUAUAGCUUGAAUUUUCUCAUCUUUUUGCUUUCUCGGGUUUUGUAGGCCUUCCUUCUUUGCUUGGACAACUCGGAGAGGACAUUAGCAAGGGUUUCCGACUAGGGAGAAUCUGAGAGUAGGAGCUAGGUGCCUUUGCUUCUCUUUCCUUUUGCUAUCAUUAUCGUCUCGGUUAUGCCUUCUCCCUUUAACUUAGAUGAGUCUACUAGAUGAAUCUCCAUGCAAUCCCCCUGUUGUUGAUCGGCAUUCUCUAUGGAGGUAGGUUACUCCAUGGUGCAGGCCUAUGCUGGUGUUUCAGGGAGCAAGAUAAGAGCAACGCAUCCACGCUGAGCAGAACAACACGAAGGGACAAGCACAUUGAUGGAUGGACAAGUAUAAGCCCAAUAAUCACUGUCGAUCAGCUGAGGGAACAAGUAUUUAUGGAUGGAGGGAGCUUUAAGCUUCGUAAAUUAGUAUAAGGGUCUCAUGAGCAAAUGCUAGCUAUCAUUGAAACAAGCCUUUUGUGGUCAGGGUUUUGGUUUGGGGGCCUAAUGAAGUUGCAGUUGAGGUAAGGGGAUACUUCAUGACUUGUAACUGGAUUCGGCAAGAAAUGGGCAGAGGAUGCUAGGGUGUUGGUGGGAGGGAUGUUCAUUUGGUUUGUGGCUCUCGGCUGAAAUAUGGGUAGAUGAGGAUGAAAGGUGAUGGGUAGAGGUCCAUUGAAGUAGGGCUGCUAGGUUUUCUUAAAGUAUUCUAUCACCAUGCUAGGUUUUCUUAAAGAAGAGACCGCUUGCCCCGGAUUAGAGUUGAAAUACUUCAAAGGGAGCAAAGGCAAAAAUAUAACUUGGAUGUUGAAAAACAUCAUGUGGUGAAAGUCUGAUCAUGACCCACUUGGAUUAUCUUACUUUUUAAGAGUACUUGAACAAUACGAUGUUUUUCAUCCACAUAAUAUAAUUUUAUGUUUUUCAA
Molecule: long non-coding RNA, 1033 nt
Organism: Eucalyptus grandis
Lineage: Eukaryota; Viridiplantae; Streptophyta; Magnoliopsida; Myrtales; Myrtaceae
Exons: 2
Source: RefSeq, a predicted model, not a curated record